CCUACGGGGGGCAGCAGUGGGGGAUAUUGCACAAUGGGGGGAACCCUGAUGCAGCGACGCCGCGUGGGUGAAGGAGCGUUUCGGCGCGUAAAGCCCUAUCGGCAGGGACGAAGAUGACGGUACCUGGCCAAGAAGCCCCGGCUAACUACGUGCCAGCAGCCGGGGUUAUACGGAGGGGGCAAGCGUUAUCCGGAUUUACUGGGUGUAAAGGGGGCGCAGACGGGAAUGCAAGCCAGGAGGGAAAGCCCCGGGCCCAACCCCGGGAGUGACCUUGGAACUGCAUGGCUGGAGUAAAGGAGGGGUAGGCGGAAUUCCUGGUGUAGCGGUGAAAUGCGUAGAUAUUAGGAAGAACACCGAUGGCGAAGGCAGCCUGCUGGACUGUGACUGACGUUGAGGCCCGAAGGCGUGGGGAGCAAACAGGAUUAGAUACCCCUGUAGUC
This 440-nucleotide ribosomal RNA is filed under the name uncultured bacterium. Its description in RNAcentral is "partial 16S ribosomal RNA". It matches the Rfam family "Bacterial small subunit ribosomal RNA", at positions 338 to 795 of the family's 1533-position model. The record is from RNAcentral.